This 468-nucleotide ribosomal RNA is filed under the name uncultured bacterium. RNAcentral's name for it is "partial 16S ribosomal RNA". It matches the Rfam family "Bacterial small subunit ribosomal RNA", at positions 28 to 507 of the family's 1533-position model. The record is from RNAcentral.
GACGAACGCUGGCGGCGUGCUUAACUCAUGCAAGUCGAACGGAAAGGCCCUGCUUUUGUGGGGUGCUCGAGUGGCGAACGGGUGAGUAACACGUGAGUAACCUGCCCUUGACUUUGGGGUAACUUCAGGAAACUGGGGCUAAUACCGGAUAGGAGCCCCUGCUGCAUGGGGGGGGUUGGAAAGUUUCGGCGGUGGGGGAUGGACUCGCGGCUUAUCAGCUAGUUGGUGGGGUAGUGGCUUACCAAGGCUUUGACGGGUAGCCGGCCUGAGAGGGUGACCGGCCACAUUGGUACUGAGAUACGGCCCAGACUCCUACGGGAGGCAGCAGUGGGGAAUAUUGCACAAUGGGCGGAAGCCUGAUGCAGCAACGCCGCGUGCGGGAUGACGGCCUUCGGGUUGUAAACCGCUUUCGCCUGUGACGAAGCGUGAGUGACGGUAAUGGGUAAAGAAGCACCGGCUAACUACGUG